GAUGAACGCUAGCGGCAGGCUUAAUACAUGCAAGUCGAGGGGCAGCGCAGUGUAGCAAUACAUGGGCGGCGACCGGCAAACGGGUGCGGAACACGUACGCAACCUACCCAAAACUGAUGAAUAGCCCUCCGAAAGGAGGAUUAAUACAUCGUAACAUAAUUGAAUGGCAUCAUUUAAUUAUUAUAGCUCCGACGGUUUUGGAUGGGCGUGCGCCUGAUUAGAUAGUUGGCGGGGUAACGGCCCACCAAGUCUGCGAUCAGUAACUGGUGUGAGAGCA
Molecule: ribosomal RNA, 277 nt
Filed under: uncultured bacterium
Lineage: Bacteria
Description: partial 16S ribosomal RNA
Rfam family: Bacterial small subunit ribosomal RNA
Source: RNAcentral